Macadamia integrifolia is the source of this 789-nucleotide long non-coding RNA. RefSeq lists it as uncharacterized. The transcript is spliced from 2 exons. NCBI's taxonomy places the organism in Eukaryota, Viridiplantae, Streptophyta, Magnoliopsida, Proteales, Proteaceae. The record is from RefSeq and is a predicted model, not a curated record.
CCUACCCACAUCCGAGCACAUCCUCUUUCCUUCUCCCCAACUACCGGUUCCAUUUCUUCCUCUUAAGACCUCCUUGCCGGUAUCACCAUCAGUCUUACCAUCCCUCAAGGAUCAAGCUGGGAUUAGUUACAGUACUAUGCUCGCUUAUCAUUGGCCUCUAUUCCAGCUUUGUGCAUUCUCUGGUUUUACCCCCUUUCCGGUAGCACAAGAGAUCUUGCAGUAGGGACUAGGGACUGUGGAAUGGGUGGAACAACAACGAUCAUUAUUAGUCUGCAACAACACUCAAGGACAUGUUUGGAUUGACGCAUUUCACGUCUAAAACCGAUCUAAUCUCUGUUAUGUAUUCAGUCUUCGGCCAAAGGAAGGAGGCCUGGUGGAAUGGGUGGAGUCGGCAAUUUGGUAAGAUCAUACAGGGCUGUGAUAUCAACAAUACUUGAUGAAUCGCUUAUGGGACUUGACUGGAUGAAAAAGCACAAGCAUUAUCUUCUGCAAGUUUGGCUAGUUGCAAUAGACGAAGUUGCAAGGAAGGUUAUCAUGAGAUCACAAAUUGUUGUUCGAUGCUCCAAGUGUGAGGAGAAGCUAUAUUGUACCAGAUGUAUGAAACAAAUUUGGAUUUUUCUGUCUGAAACAAGUGUGAAGAGAAGCUAUAUUGUAUUAGAUGUAACAAGCGAAUUCGGAUUUUUGUCUGAGUGUGAAGAGAAGCUAUAUUGUAUCAGAUGUAUCAAACAAAUUUGGAUUUUUCUAUCCAAUACUGAAUAUAUACUCAUCUCUCAAUUGUUUUAUAGUAUA